UUAAUUACCAUUUACAUAGGGUAUUUCUCCCGGUUACGAGCACCCCCCCUGUUACGAGCCCCUAACGGAAAUAAUUUGUAAUAUCGAAUAAAAGGCAUUACUAUUAUGAUGCUAAUUCUAAUUCAUUCAAUUAAUUGAACAUUAAACAUUUAUUUGGCUCAAAUACAAAGCUAUAAAACAGUUUUUAUUAAUUACAGCAACUGAUUCUCCAAACACACUUUGCAAAGAAAUUUUUUUUCAAUCAAAUGUCAAAAAUUUCUUAAGAAAUCGGUGCAGUUACGAGCACCCUGUUACGAGCCCUUUCUUGUUUACAUGGUAACGUGAAUUUUUCUUUCGCUUUUUUAGUUAAAUUAAUCGAAAAUACGUUAAUUAUCAUCGUAACUACUAAAAAACAAU
This is a long non-coding RNA of Bradysia coprophila, 396 nucleotides long. NCBI's taxonomy places the organism in Eukaryota, Metazoa, Arthropoda, Insecta, Diptera, Sciaridae. The record is from RefSeq and is a predicted model, not a curated record.